This 492-nucleotide ribosomal RNA is filed under the name uncultured bacterium. RNAcentral's name for it is "partial 16S ribosomal RNA". It matches the Rfam family "Bacterial small subunit ribosomal RNA", at positions 29 to 507 of the family's 1533-position model. The record is from RNAcentral.
AGUGAACGCUGGCGGUAGGCCUAACACAUGCAAGUCGAACGGCAGCACAGUAAGAUCUUGCUCUUACGGGUGGCGAGUGGCGGACGGGUGAGGAAUACAUCGGAAUCUACUUUUUCGUGGGGGAUAACGUAGAGAAACUUACGCUAAUACCGCAUACGACCUACGGGUGAAAGCAGGGGAUCUUCGCACCUUGCGCGAUUGAAUGAGCCGAUGUCGGAUUAGCUAGUUGGCGGGGUAAAGGCCCACCAAGGCAACGAUACGUAGCUGGUCUGAGAGGAUGAUCGGCCACACUGGAACUGAGACACGGUCCAGACUCCUACGGGAGGCAGCAGUGGGGAAUAUUGGACAAUGGGCGCAAGCCUGAUCCAGCCAUACCGCGUGGGUGAAGAAGGCCUUCGGGUUGUAAAGCUCUUUUGUUGGGAAAGAAAAGCAGCAGGUUAAUACCCCGCUGUUCUGACGGUACCCAAAGAAUAAGCACCGGCUAACUUCGUG